This 497-nucleotide ribosomal RNA is filed under the name uncultured bacterium. RNAcentral's name for it is "partial 16S ribosomal RNA". It matches the Rfam family "Bacterial small subunit ribosomal RNA", at positions 28 to 507 of the family's 1533-position model. The record is from RNAcentral.
GAUGAACGCUGGCGGCGUGCCUAAUACAUGCAAGUCGAGCGAACGGACGAGAAGCUUGCUCCUCUGACGUUAGCGGCGGACGGGUGAGUAACACGUGGAUAACCUACCUAUAAGACUGGGAUAACUUCGGGAAACCGGAGCUAAUACCGGAUAAUAUUUUGAACCGCAUGGUUCAAAAGUGAGAGACGGUUUUGCUGUCACUUAUAGAUGGAUCCGCGCUGCAUUAGCUAGUUGGUAAGGUAACGGCUUACCAAGGCAACGAUGCGUAGCCGACCUGAGAGGGUGAUCGGCCACACUGGAACUGAGACACGGUCCAGACUCCUACGGGAGGCAGCAGUAGGGAAUCUUCCGCAAUGGGCGAAAGCCUGACGGAGCAACGCCGCGUGAGUGAUGAAGGUCUUCGGAUCGUAAAACUCUGUUAUUAGGGAAGAACAAAUGUGUAAGUAACUAUGCACGUCUUGACGGUACCUAAUCAGAAAGCCACGGCUAACUACGUG